UCGCAAGGACAAAAGCCAAACACCGCAUGUUCUCACUCAAAGAAGAGAACCAUCUUAAAACCAUGAGGUGACAUCCAUGAGGACAAAGACUUCCUGCUUGUUCUUGAGCCACUGAGGGUACCUCUGAGUUGCUGUACCACCCAGAAAAUGCUAUCCCUGAACUUCUUGUUGACUGAGACAAAUAAACCCCUUAUUUAAACCA
Molecule: long non-coding RNA, 202 nt
Filed under: Homo sapiens (human)
Lineage: Eukaryota; Metazoa; Chordata; Mammalia; Primates; Hominidae
Description: HSALNT0300362
Source: RNAcentral